AAUAGAAUUAAACAUCGGUUAGACAUUUUUGUCCAUUGUAGAGAAUCUAUGAUCUAUAUUAGGCUAAGCAGAUAAAAUAUAGAUAGAUAAUAGUUGUCUGCCCUAAAAUUCAGCAGCACUCACUUUCAAUUCAAUUGGAUUUGGGGAAGCAACCUAUUCACCUAUUUUUUUUGUUUUUUGUUUUUUUAUUCAUUUUAUGAUAUUUCUUCUCUAAAUAGACCACUCAACG
Molecule: long non-coding RNA, 229 nt
Filed under: Lathyrus oleraceus (garden pea)
Lineage: Eukaryota; Viridiplantae; Streptophyta; Magnoliopsida; Fabales; Fabaceae
Description: Pisum sativum (pea) long non-coding RNA (PSAT_LNC007666)
Source: RNAcentral